Molecule: long non-coding RNA, 892 nt
Organism: Equus caballus (horse)
Lineage: Eukaryota; Metazoa; Chordata; Mammalia; Perissodactyla; Equidae
Source: RefSeq, a predicted model, not a curated record
AUAUUUCUGAAGCUAUGUUUGGGUCACACAUAAGCAGAGAUACACUCAGUGAUUUCAGGAUUUCCUAAAAAUGCUGGAGAUUAUGUUGAAUUUUUAUUAAAUAGAGUUUAUAAAUCCGAUGGAACAUUCUCAAACCCUGGGCUGUGUUUCCAUAUGUCUGCGGUCUAUAGGUGUUGAAAUGCUCACCUAUACUUUGGGAAAAAAACCACAACAUUUUGCAAAAAUUGAAUAAAUGAUCAUUCGAAGCAAAAGCAUGCAGUUCAAAAGCUAAACCUCCCAUUGGAGAACAGAAAAUUUAAUGAGCUUUUAAUGGAAUGCAAUGCUCAGAGUAGUAAAUUAUUUGUUAGUUGACGAUGCAAUCAGCAUGCUGAUUAAGGUUGCUUGGUUUUUUACUAAACAUUAACUGAAUGAAAACGGGUAGUCCUUGUUCUGCUUGGGGGGCUUUAAGGAAGCAAAUGGACUUUCAGAACAGAGAUUGUCAAUAAAGGAAUACCCAUCCUGAGCUCUGGAUGUGUCCUCUGAGAAGGUACCCGUGACACAGAUCACACGGGACACCAACGCAGAUGCUGGGGGAAGGUUCCUCGACAGCUGAGUGUGGACAUGCUGAUCACUGAGCUUCUUGACACACAGCUGCUAAUCUCUCCUCUCAAGCUCACGGAGGCUGAAGCUGCCUCCAAACAUUGAGACGUGCCACGCCAACUCACGGCAAGGUCUCUAUUAUUGAGACUCUUGCAUAAUGACAUCUUUAUUCAUGUGAAAAUACAGGAUGAAUUUCAACUAUAUGAUAUUGUUUAUGUUCAUCAGAAAUGUUAUUUGCCUUUACGAAGUCUGGUUUCAAUGAACCGGCUAUGUAAUGGAUAUUAAAUAAACAUGGAAUUUUACAUGUUCACAA